CUCAUCAAAUAAUUUUUACCUUUGUUGCCAAAUGUAAUACUAAGCUAGGAGUUUGGUUUUCUUAGUUAGGUGAGGUGAGUGUGUUUUUGGUCGAAUUUGAGAGUCCUAGUGGCUAAAAACUUAUUUUUCUUCUCUUAGUUCCUAGAGUGUCUUAGUCUUAGGUGUUAAAGAGGGCUGAUUCUACUUCUUUUACCUAGAGUUUAGAAUUCAUGGGUUGGUGCAGAGCUUGGGUGAUUCGAAGCUCAGAGUUGUCUCUUUCUUCCUUCUUCCUUUUCUCCUCUCUUGAUUAGCUUAGAAUCAAGAGAUAGGUUACAAAGGACUAUAGUGGAGGCCAUCAGGUGGAUGAUAAUGUUUUAAAAUGUUUUAUACAUACUACCUUCUUGCGAUAGUUUUAUAGUAAUGCUUGACCAAUAUUUAGGUCAUGUAGUGGACUAUUACUGGAUAAUUGUACUUAUAUUAUUUAUCUUUGUAUAGUUCUUUUUACACGUACAUGCAUGUUAUAUUGUACAUAUCCAAGUAAUUGUGAAUGUAUGACUUUAUAUAGUAGUUUUCUA
Cajanus cajan (pigeon pea) is the source of this 554-nucleotide long non-coding RNA. RefSeq lists it as uncharacterized. Lineage: Eukaryota; Viridiplantae; Streptophyta; Magnoliopsida; Fabales; Fabaceae. The record is from RefSeq and is a predicted model, not a curated record.